Molecule: small nucleolar RNA, 55 nt
Filed under: Thermococcus sibiricus MM 739
Lineage: Archaea; Methanobacteriati; Methanobacteriota; Thermococci; Thermococcales; Thermococcaceae
Description: Small nucleolar RNA sR39
Rfam family: Small nucleolar RNA sR39
Source: Rfam by way of RNAcentral
GGCGAUGAGGAUAAUUUCGCUAGCUGAAGAAUGAUGACUACCCUCGCAGCUGAGC